Anolis carolinensis (green anole) is the source of this 2543-nucleotide long non-coding RNA. RefSeq lists it as uncharacterized. NCBI's taxonomy places the organism in Eukaryota, Metazoa, Chordata, Lepidosauria, Squamata, Anolidae. The transcript has 3 exons. The record is from RefSeq and is a predicted model, not a curated record.
UGGUUGAUACAUUGUGUCCUUUUCUGACUCCAAACUAUGAAUUAACCCUUUUCCAAGCCGUGGAACCUCGCAGACUUGACACGGAUGCUAUAGCGAGUGAGGAAACAUGGUCCUUGAAACUGUGGAUACGAAAUCUCCAUUUUGGACCCCGUAUCCACGGAUUCACCAAUCUUCACUGAAACAACACGGUCAGUGAUUUAAUGGGCUCUGGUAUUUUUGUUUUUCCUACUCCCUCACCUGGAAAUGGGAAACAGAAAAUGCAAUAGGACUAGCCCUGAGUCAACAACACACCACAAGGCUUCUAAACAACUGAAAAUUGAUGAACUCUUCGGGGAAGGAACUGUGAGUAUAUUUCACUUAAACACCCUGUUUGAAACUACAACUGACAACAAUGCUACUCCCUUAAUUCUUCAUGAUAAAGCUAACGAGCCUCUAUCAGUAGCCUUUGACAACAACUUGGCUGCAUAUCAUGAAGGUUUAUCCUUGGAGUCAAUUGAAACAGAUGCAGUAGAAGAGAACCCCCUCAUUACCGAGAUAAGACAACAUACAGGGCAAACAAUUACCACAGACUUUGUGAUGAACCAAUGUCUUCUUACCGCCCACACUGUUGUUUCUAUCUUUGAAAGGCUAGAAAAAAUAGUAGGACAGUUGGAGCUUCUCAAAAUUGCUGUUGACCGCUUCACUCAGAAAAGUAUACCUUUAAAAGAAAGUUCAGCUAAGGAUAACAGCACGUGGGCCAGAGAGGAGGAUAAUAUAGUGCACCAAAACACCUCUGAAUUACCUACUAAGGAGCUACAAAUGUAGUGGACCAACACCAUUUUCUUCCUUGUCUAAUUCUAACUGCCACCUCACUUUUUGCUGAACAGAUCCCUAACGCCUCCAAAUUUUAACUUUUUGUCCUAUCCAAAGACCCCUGUGGAUAUCUAUGAGCCUUCCAUGGAUUCGUGGUUCCACUAAACUUCUAUGUGUUUUCCUUUGUCUCUGGGUGCAUCGCCUCAAAAUGGUGCCUGGAUAGUGCCUGCUGAUCCCAGGUCUUGUGUCUUCUCUGAACCCCCGGUUCUCAUCAAUGACUUGGCUACUUUUAUGAAUGAAACUGGGUUUUUUUUAUGAAUGAACUUUGACUUUUAUUAAUGGACUUUGGCUAAAUCGGUGCCUCAUUGAACCUUGUAUGACUCCUUAUGAAUUCUCAGGUGACAGGGACCCCUUUUUCCCCAUCCUGCAAGUUCCUCAUGUAUCCUCGUGCUGUCCUCUUAGUCUUAGAGAUCCCCACAAGUUCCUUGCCUUCCCAGGAACUGACAGGGACACCUGAAGAACCCUUUUCCCCUCAAAGGCAACCUAACUUCCACCUGGUACGGGUCCUCAGGUUGCUCCUUGAUCCCCAUUCUGUAUGUUCCCCAAAACUCCAUAUUGGGAGGCCUCUGCUCCUAUGGGUACCCCUACCCUCUAUGGACUCCUUAUGUGUGCACAUUAUCUAUUAUUUCUUUCUAUGAUUGUAUGUAUUAAUGUAUACAUAUGAAGCAGGGUGACCCCGUUGUGAACUCUUGACCAGUAAUUCUAAGAUCUGAGUGCCCUAGGUUGCCUCAGAUAAUCAUCUUUGUCAAAGGGACUUCAAUGCAUCCAACACAGUAGACAAUAGACUGUUAGCUCUCCUCCCCAAGCCUCAGAGGGUCAAAGACCAGGCCACUUGGGAAGUUGAAAGCUCUUGGACAUGUUAAUCAUUUUUCAGAAAGGACAUUUCCUCUCUGUAGGGAGCAGGGAAUGUUACAGUCUUCCCCACAAUGACAUUUCCCCUUCCCAGGAACUAAGAUCAUCUGAUCCCACCAAGAUAUUUGGAUUGCUGCUAUUUGGACAAUGGAACUAACACUGGCAUGUCAGACCCACUCAAGGGAAAAUGUUAUUUCAAAUCUUCAUGUAAAUAGACAGAUUGGGCUGGAUGGCUUCCAGCUAUUGCCUGACCACUUUGACAAAAGGGCCCAGCAAGGGCUAACCACAACCCUAUCAUUAUGUCAACAUUCCUCUUUGUUUUACUGUUGCCACACCUCCACUAUCACCAUUGGCCAGCAGGGAGGCAGUGUCACAAAUAAGGUUCAUGCUCUCAUUGGAUGAGGCACAUGAGCCCCCUAGCCGCUCCUCCUAGGGUGCUGAUGUAAGAAGCGCCUUGACCAAUCAGUGCCAAACUGGCUCAGGGGGCGGGAGCAGGACUUUCAAACUGGAAAACUGUAUAAAAAGUGUAUUUCUCUGUAUUUUGGUGUGCCGGCUUAUUCAGCAGAUUACUGCGGUCAUCCUUUCCAGCUGGAACAGAAGUAAACUUUGGUGGCUUUGCUUCAUCCUGGUGUGCAUUGUGGAGCUGAUGACCUUUUUGAACGUUACGGAAACCAGAGUUUUCCUGGACAAGUUUGAAAAGCUAGACAUGUCAGGCCUCCGAACCCGUGGCUCUUGUGGAUGCUGAAAUCACAUAAUCAAUUGAAUGGCAGAGAGUGACAACUUUGCUUCCUGGUGGAAUAAAAUUAUCAUCGGGUCACAUGCAUAAGGUGUAUAUGAAA